RNAcentral lists this ribosomal RNA (687 nucleotides) under uncultured Gammaproteobacteria bacterium. Its description in RNAcentral is "bacterial SSU rRNA". It matches the Rfam family "Bacterial small subunit ribosomal RNA", at positions 1 to 677 of the family's 1533-position model. Lineage: Bacteria; Pseudomonadati; Pseudomonadota; Gammaproteobacteria. The record is from RNAcentral.
GCCCUUAGAGUUUGAUCCUGGCUCAGAUUGAACGCUGGCGGCAUGCCUAACACAUGCAAGUCGAGCGGCAGCGCGGAAGAGCUUGCUCUUCUGGCGGCGAGCGGCGGACGGGUGAGUAACGCGUGGGAAUCUGCCCUUUGGUGGGGGAUAGCCCGGGGAAACCCGGAUUAAUACCGCAUAAGCCCUACGGGGGAAAGUGGGCCUCUGAUUCAAGCUCACGCCGAAGGAUGAGCCCGCGUCCGAUUAGCUAGUUGGUGGGGUAAAGGCCUACCAAGGCGACGAUCGGUAGCUGGCCUGAGAGGGUGGUCAGCCACACUGGGACUGAGACACGGCCCAGACUCCUACGGGAGGCAGCAGUGGGGAAUAUUGGACAAUGGGCGCAAGCCUGAUCCAGCAAUGCCGCGUGUGUGAAGAAGGCCUGCGGGUUGUAAAGCACUUUCAUUGGGGAGGAAAGUUGCACGGUUAAUAGCUGUGCGAGUUGACGUUACCCAAAGAAGAAGCGCCGGCAAACUUCGUGCCAGCAGCCGCGGUAAUACGAAGGGCGCAAGCGUUAAUCGGAAUCACUGGGCGUAAAGGGCGCGUAGGCGGCUAUGUAAGUCGGAUGUGAAAGCCCCGGGCUCAACCUGGGAAUUGCAUUCGAUACUGCGUAGCUAGAGUCCGGUAGAGGGUAGUGGAAUUCCCGGUGUA